Molecule: transfer RNA, 85 nt
Filed under: Rhodobiaceae bacterium
Lineage: Bacteria; Pseudomonadati; Pseudomonadota; Alphaproteobacteria; Hyphomicrobiales; Rhodobiaceae
Description: tRNA-Leu
Rfam family: tRNA
About the family: Transfer RNA (tRNA) molecules are approximately 80 nucleotides in length.
Source: RNAcentral
GCGGACGUGAUGGAAUUGGUAGACAUACCGGACUUAAAAUCCGGAGGCGUUAGCCGUGCGGGUUCGAGUCCCGCCGUCCGCACCA